Molecule: ribosomal RNA, 555 nt
Filed under: uncultured bacterium
Lineage: Bacteria
Description: partial 16S ribosomal RNA
Rfam family: Bacterial small subunit ribosomal RNA
Source: RNAcentral
UGGGGAAUUUUGGACAAUGGGCGAAAGCCUGAUCCAGCAAUGCCGCGUGUGUGAAGAAGGCCUUCGGGUUGUAAAGCACUUUUGUCCGGAAAGAAAUCCUUGGCUCUAAUACAGUCGGGGGAUGACGGUACCGGAAGAAUAAGCGCCGGCUAACUACGUGCCAGCAGCCGCGGUAAUACGUAGGGUGCAAGCGUUAAUCGGAAUUACUGGGCGUAAAGCGUGCGCAGGCGGUUUGCUAAGACCGAUGUGAAAUCCCCGGGCUCAACCUGGGAACUGCAUUGGUGACUGGCAGGCUAGAGUAUGGCAGAGGGGGGUAGAAUUCCACGUGUAGCAGUGAAAUGCGUAGAGAUGUGGAGGAAUAUCGAUGGCGAAGGCAGCCCUCUGGGCCAAUACUGACGCUCAUGCACGAAAGCGUGGGGAGCAAACAGGAUUAGAUACCCUGGUAGUCCACGCCCUAAACGAUGUCAACUAGUUGUUGGGGAUUCAUUUCCUUAGUAACGUAGCUAACGCGUGAAGUUGACCGCCUGGGGAGUACGGUCGCAAGAUUAAAAGCUC